UAUUAUUUUAUAUGUAUAUAAUAACCUGAGUAGUAAUAGUUUAGUUCUAGAAACUCAAAGAAUUUGGCGGUAUUUUAGUCCUUUUAGAGGAACCUGUUUAGUAAUUGAUAAUACACGAGUGUAGGUACUUUUCUUUAACUUGUAUACCGCCGUCGUAAGAUUGUCUUAGAAGAGGAGGAAUUUUCUAGUGUUUAGAUUAAGAGGUAUGUCAGGUCAAGGUGCAGUUUAUAGGAAAGAUUUGAUGGGUUACAAUAAUGGUAGUUAAUACGGAUAAGAUGAUAAUUAAGCUUUGAAGGUGGAUUUAAUUGUAAAUUUACUUUACUAGUAAAUUGAUUAGGGCUCUAGAAUGUGCACAUAUCGCCCGUCAGUGUCGUCUUAAUAUGAG
This 385-nucleotide ribosomal RNA is filed under the name Parendacustes lifouensis. RNAcentral's name for it is "partial 12S ribosomal RNA". Lineage: Eukaryota; Metazoa; Arthropoda; Insecta; Orthoptera; Phalangopsidae. The record is from RNAcentral.